Molecule: ribosomal RNA, 433 nt
Filed under: uncultured bacterium
Lineage: Bacteria
Description: partial 16S ribosomal RNA
Rfam family: Bacterial small subunit ribosomal RNA
Source: RNAcentral
AACGAACGCUGGCGGCAGGCCUAACACAUGCAAGUCGAGCGGACCCUUCGGGGUUAGCGGCGGACGGGUGAGUAACGCGUGGGAAUAUGCCCUUCUCUACGGAAUAGUCCUGGGAAACUGGGGGUAAUACCGGAUAAGCCCUUUGGGGGAAAGAUUUAUCGGGGAAGGAUUAGCCCGCGUUGGAUUAGGUAGUUGGUGGGGUAAUGGCCUACCAAGGCGACGAUCCAUAGCUGGGUUGAGAGGAUGAGCAGCCACACUGGGACUGAGACACGGUCCAGAAUCCUACGGGAGGCAGCAGUGGGGGAUCUUGGACAAUGGGGGCAGUGCUGAACGAGCCAUGCCGCGUGAGUGAUGAAGGCCUGAGGGUUGUAAAGCUCUUUAAGCUGGGAAGAUAAUGACGGUACCAGCAGAAGAAGCCCCGGCUAACUCCGUG